UACCGAGGGUGCGAGCGUUCAUCGGAAUUCCUGGGCGUAAAGCGCGCGUAGGCGGCUUUGCAAGUCGGGUGUGAAAUCCCCAGGCUUAACCUGGGAACUGCAUUCGAGACUGCAUUGCUAGAGUAUGGGAGAGGGAAGUGGAAUUUCAGGUGUAGCGGUGAAAUGCGUAGAUAUCUGAAGGAACAUCAGUGGCGAAAGCGACUUCCUGGACCAAUACUGACGCUCAUGUGCGAAAGCGUGGGGAGCAAACAGG
This 253-nucleotide ribosomal RNA is filed under the name uncultured bacterium. RNAcentral describes it as "partial 16S ribosomal RNA". It matches the Rfam family "Bacterial small subunit ribosomal RNA", at positions 524 to 776 of the family's 1533-position model. The record is from RNAcentral.